GGGAGUGAAAUAGACCUGAAACCGGACACCUACAAACAGACGGAGCCCAAGAUUAGUUCUGGGUGACGUCGUACCUUUUGUAUUAUGGGCCAGCGACUUAAUUUAACGAGCAAGCUUAAACCGAUAGGUGUAGGCGUAGCGAAAGCGAGUCUUAAUAGGGCGCCAAGUUCGUUGUAUUAGACCCGAAACCUAGUGAUCUAGCCAUGAGCAGGUUGAAGGUGAGGUAACACUCACUGGAGGACCGAACGG
RNAcentral lists this ribosomal RNA (249 nucleotides) under Cyanoptyche gloeocystis. RNAcentral's name for it is "partial Bacterial large subunit ribosomal RNA". It matches the Rfam family "Bacterial large subunit ribosomal RNA", at positions 534 to 781 of the family's 2925-position model. Lineage: Eukaryota; Glaucocystophyceae. The record is from RNAcentral.